RNAcentral lists this ribosomal RNA (179 nucleotides) under Shewanella xiamenensis. Its description in RNAcentral is "partial 23S ribosomal RNA". It matches the Rfam family "Bacterial large subunit ribosomal RNA", at positions 2752 to 2925 of the family's 2925-position model. The record is from RNAcentral. Lineage: Bacteria; Pseudomonadati; Pseudomonadota; Gammaproteobacteria; Alteromonadales; Shewanellaceae.
CGUUCGGAAUCGAUAACCGCUGAAAGCAUCUAAGCGGGAAGCGAGCCCCAAGAUGAGUCAUCCCUUGGACUAUAAGUCCACUAAAGAGCCGUUCGAGACUAGGACGUUGAUAGGUCAGGUGUGUAAGCGUUGUGAGGCGUUGAGCUAACUGAUACUAAUGACUCGAGAGGCUUAACCAU